GUUUUGAGCCGUGUAUACAAUUGCAAUGUGGUUAAAUCAAGCUAAUUAACAUAUCUAUCACCUCUCUCAGUUAUUAUUGUUUGUGGCUUCUCCAGGGAAAGUGACCGAGGCAGUGAAAGAGGCCAUUGACGCAGGGUACCGGCACUUCGACUGUGCUUACUUUUACCACAAUGAGAGGGAGGUUGGAGCAGGGAUCCGUUGCAAGAUCAAGGAAGGCGCUGUAAGACGGGAGGAUCUGU
Molecule: long non-coding RNA, 239 nt
Filed under: Homo sapiens (human)
Lineage: Eukaryota; Metazoa; Chordata; Mammalia; Primates; Hominidae
Description: HSALNT0158122
Source: RNAcentral